UAGAAACACAUACAUAAUGAAGUAUAUUCUGUAUAAGCUAUCCUACAAAACGUUAUUGCCAAUUUGUGCAGCUGAAAUAAUGCAAUUCGAAAUUUAAAAUACUAUUUUUGAAAACUUAAUUUAAAAACUCCUACUGAAGUGUCUAUACUUUCUAGAUGCAUUUUCAAAAAGUCCUGCUCCACUCAUCACUAUUUCAGAAGAAAACAAAUAUAACAAAAGAAGAAUGUUUUUAAAAUUAUGCAUUUUAACUAGCCUACGGAAAAAUAUUCUUUAUAUCAUUUAGGUUUUUACAAUGGUGGUAAGUUCAACCUGGAUCUUCCCUCUGAAUGCGUUUUUCUUUACUAAAAUGAUAUCAUGAAUGAAACGAGGAUUGCAAAACGAGAGUCUGAAACAUAUCAAUCUGGCCAGGUUGCAAUGUCUCAAAUCGUUUUAUUUGAAUUAUGAUAAGAUUAAGAAUGAUCCACAUCAAUAUUAAUUUCCAAUAAUAAACAAGAAAAUCAUAAAGAAAUGAACAAAUUGUAAAGCAAUGGAAUAAGGAAACAUCUUUUUAAAAAACUGUAGGCAUAUUCAUCCAUAUUACUGCAAGCUAUAUUUUACCAAAAAAUACCUUAUCAGCGGUUAUCAAAUGAAUGAGGUAGUAAUGGUGUUGAUUAAAAAUAAACAAUACACACUGUAGAUAAUAUUGAAGAUGUGGUUACCAUUUGAACAGAUAGGGGAGCCCUGGGUGAUUUCAAACAAUGAAGUAGUUUUAGAUUGAGGUAGACUGGGUGGAAAGUUAUCCAACUGUAUCAUAAUUAACAGUUUUGGAACAUACAGUUGCUGAAAGAAGUGAUGCCUAUCAACUAAGUAAUUAUACAAUAUUUCAGUUCAGAAAAUUCAAAACGUCAUGUUUGAGGCAACUGAAAAAGCACCCAAAAACAAUUCCAAAUGAGAAUCAAUAUUUAUGAUUGGAUUAGAGAGGUAGGAAUACACAAGAGAAGGCUGCAAGUAGUUUUUAUGACUCAUUUAACAGUAAGUCAAUUGAAGCAUAUGCUAUAUUGACACUUGCAAAUUUCUAAUUGAUUCCUAACAGAGCUAUGAAGGAAAAAAUGGAAACAAAAAUAAGAGAACAAUAUUGAAUUUGCAACUUAUUCCUACAGAUUUAAAAACAGUAAUGUUACACAAGUUAAUAAUCUUUUACUGGUACUACAAAUUACAUUGAAAUAUAGAAGUUUCAAUGACACCUAUGCUUAUUAAUAUACAAAACUUAAUUUUACUCUCCAAGACCUCUCAGCAUUUGGAAGAUUAAACAUAAUCCCCAAGACAAUCAUAAUUUAUUGAAAUGUUACAUCAGAAUCUAUAUAAGUACCCCAACUAUAGAGGACAAACCAGAAAAAAAAAACAAAAUCGCAAUACUGUACUACAGUUUCUAUAGGGAGCAACAGAAUGUAAAAAGAUAACGAUCAAUAAAUCUAUAAGAUGAAAAA
Harmonia axyridis is the source of this 1466-nucleotide long non-coding RNA. RefSeq lists it as uncharacterized. The transcript has 2 exons. The record is from RefSeq and is a predicted model, not a curated record. Lineage: Eukaryota; Metazoa; Arthropoda; Insecta; Coleoptera; Coccinellidae.